GAGAUGAGCGCCUUACCGUUUUCUUCUCCUCCCACCCCCUCUCCUUUCCACCUCCGGCUGGAGGCUAGGCCGCUAGGGUUGCCUUCACAGUGCCGCCACCACAGUCAUCUCCACCGUCCAUGCUCCUCCAGCGCCGGCCACCGGAGAAGGCGCUCUCCAUCUGCCACCGCCUCGCCCCAAUCAGCCCACCCCAGCUCCUUCGGCACCGGCAACUGGACCGUCGCCACCGGCGGCUUCUCUCGCACUCGUGCCCUCUCCAUCUCCCACCCGGAACUCCACCUCCUCCAGCCCCAUAUCCCCCGAUCUUCACGGUCUGGAUCUUGGGAGCACGCGAGAGAGAGACGACGUGGGCGUUGCCCGGACGAGACAUGGUAGUACUGGCGAGAGACAGAGGAGGGUUGGCUGUGUAUGGCGUCGUUGAAGAAUCGGGGGAGGCCGGACAAGGGCGGUUGGCGUUCGGUGCCCGCGGUGGCCAGAUGGGUGGCUCCGCCGCUCUCGUGCAACCCGUCCUCCACCGUGCUUACUUCCUCCACGACCACCUCGGGGCCUCCAUCAAUCACCUGCGCUUCCUCGGCAGGAAGCUGAUUACAGGGAAUGGGGGCAUGUCGUGCAAGAAAUCACGAGGUUUCUAAAGGCUGACUCGCUUUUCAUGAACCUGAGACCUCUCAGGAGCUUUUGUUGUGCUGAGUGUACGAGACAAGCAGCGGCUCUGUGCAUAUGCGCUCGUCCGUGUUAUGUGCUCCCGUAGGGCGGCAGAUGCGUGUGGCGUGUGUGCGAAACGUGCGCCGGUCGACGUGCGCCUGUGUUCGUGUGUGUGGCGCUAUACUGGCAGAGGAAGCGGGCGGUUGCCGGCAGAGGAGGAACUUCAAGACAACAAUGGGCAUCAGGCUUCACGGCUACACAUUCAUCUUUGAUUUUCUCCCAAAAACUGAAAUUGUUUGACCCUUAAAUUUUAAUUCCCUUGAGAAAGUCAGUGUAUUCAUGGAAAAUAUGGUCUAACGAUGUUGACAAAUUUGAUUGCAACAGGAAUUGGCAAAGUAAGUGCAGUGCUCACCAUUGCACAUAUAUUCAGGGCAAAAUCUAACUUCAGUCAGAAGAAGAUGACCAGGGAGGAGCUAUAUAUCCCUGUUGAAAGUUCAGGUAUCUUCCUCUUGUAUGUUGGUAUUGCUCUUUUUUAUUUGCAUUUAAGUGUGUUUCUCAUGCUAUAUCCUGGAGAGAAGUGAUUGUCAGGUACCUAGGACCACAGGUGUUCACUUCUUUAUUGCUAACUGAUAAAAUCAUCCAUCGUGAAUUUUCCAUCUGAGUGGCAACACUAGACAGGAGGAAGGUCUGGUAACCCUAGACCAAACAGUAUUGCAAGUGCCAAGUUAGUUUUCACUAACUACAAAUUUAAAUAUAGAUGAACCUUGACAUUGGCUUUGGUUGCACGCUUAUGGCUAAUGUCCGUGGCAAUAUUUGCAAGUAUAUUCUUAUCAAGUGAUAUGAUGCAUCUCCCACUUUUUUAUUUGCAAGUUAGUUGUCACCCUACUAUUAAAAGACGAUGAGAUCCUCGGCCACGCUGCCGUCUACUCCCCGGUGCGCGCCUCUUGCAUCAUCCCCCCGCUGCUUAUCCAGUCCCAGCUGCCGGAGAGUCCCGCCGCUGGCACAAGCACCUUGCAAUCGAGAUGUGCUUCUCCGCUGGUGCUGGAGUUAUGGACAUCUUGCAAAUCAUCUAUGUGAUAUGAGAUCAAAUGUUAUCUGCAAUGCUACACUUCAUAAGCAUGGGAUCUGGCGAUCCUUCCAGGCUUACUUGCAGGUUAGUGCAUAUGGCGUUGGGUUGGCGUUGGUGCAGGUUCAGGUUCAUUCACAACACAUUCAGGAGAUCAAUGGAGACCAUCUCUAGGUAUUUCAAGCAGGUGCUUUUUGCUGUUGGGGAGCUUAGAGGAGAGAUGAUAAAGAGACCAUCUGGGCAGACUCCACCCAAGAUUCACGGAAGCCCAAGAUGGUAUCCAUACUUCAAGGAUUGCAUUGGAGCAAUAGAUGGUACUCAUGUCAUUGCCAGAGUUCCUAGGUAACAGUUUGCAGCAUACAGGGGGAGGAAGGAUUACACAAGACAGAAUGUGCUUGCUGCUGUUGAUUUUGAACUGAAGUUCACAUAUGUGCUGGCUGGCUGAGAGGGGUCAGCGCAUGAUGAUAAUAUUCUUACUGAUAGCAUGAGUCGGCCUAAUGGGAUCAACAUCCCCGACGGCAAGUUCUACCUUGGAGAUGCUGGCUAUGCAUGCCAGACGGGCAUUCUUUCACCCUUUAGGAAAACUAGGUACCAUCUCAACGAGUUCUCUGGUAGGAACUAUCCUAGGACUGCGCAGGAGCUAUUUAAUCUCAGACACUCCAGCCAUAGAGUAAUUGUUGAGGGGGCAUUUGGAGCUCUGAAGAAUAGUUUUAAGAUCCUGGAUCAGAAGUCAUUCCACCCAUACUCCACUCAGGUUAAGCUUGUUCUUGCUUGUUGCAUUCUUCAUAACUGGAUACUUCAGUGGGGCUUUGAUGAACACAUGCCUGAGGAGGAAGAGGUCGAGCCUGACGAUGUUGUUAGUUCCGGCCAUGGUGUGGAGGCAUUUGACAAUGACGCUUGGAAGAACGAAAUGUUGGACUGGGCAGAGGCAAUGUGGCUUAACAGAGGUGAGUGCAGGAUUUGAACAGGGAGGAAGAAGAAGCAGCAGAAGCAGAAGAAGUGGAAGAUGAAGAGGAAGAUCUGGUAGCCGCAACACCGAUGAAGUAUCCCCUAUUUAGCCAAUGGCUCUUAAUAAUUUGAACUGUCAUUUGAUAGUAGUUUGGAUGAACUAUCAUUUGUUUAACUAGCUGGCACUACAUGUUCAGAUUGUGUGUGGUAAGCUCACCACUAGUUAGAAGUGGUGACAACACCUUAUGCAGGUUAAAACCAAACACCAUGUCAUAUGUGCGCCUAAUGCAAUGCGGGCAACCAAAAGCCGGUCAAAAAUGGUUGUCUCAUGCAACUACAUGCAGACAACCAAACUAUGUGCAUCUGGGGUCUUUUUGCCUGCAUCUCCUCAAACCGGCUCACUAGAGCCAGGCUCGCCGGGCCAGACUCGAUUGGCAAUGUAACCAAACACGCCCCAAGUUUCCUUCACACUUUAUUUCCCACGAUAUUCCUCACGAUAUGUCAGACGGAGAGGUGGCUGCUGGAACAUAUUUGUUUGUGGAUUGAGCCAGGAAUGUGAAGCACUGAAAUAUUCAUCUACCAAAUCCGGUAUCAAGACAGCUCUGACAAAUUUUUGAUUUCCAUUCUUCUUUUGCAGGGGCUCUAGCCAUAGCAAGUGUUUCGCUCUACUCGAAGACUUUAGGUGGGUGUGUUGUUUUCAGUGGUUUGGUUUCCCUAAGAAAAUCGCUUGCUGAGAGGGUGCCACUUGAAGCCAGAAAGACUCCGGUUUUUUGGUUCCAUGGGAUGGCAGACCGCAGAUGGGGUGGUACUGUUUGACGCCGGGCACGCAGGAUGCACAUUUCUCCAAGAGCUUAGCAUGGCCUGCGAAUUCAAGACUUAUGCUACUCUUGGGCACUCAUUGGUGGAUGACGAGCUCCAGUUUUUCUUUUCGCGGGGAAGCUCCAUUAUUUUCGACAGUGGAUAUUCGAUCAUCCACGGAUCUCUCAAGGAAAUGAAGCGGCAACACUAUUGACAUCAUUUUGACCAUAUAGAUUUUAACCAGCUACUUAAAUUCAUGGGUACCAUUUCUAGGGCUGCUACAUCAACAUGAGUAAUAACACGAAUAUGAGUUUCUCUAGCCACAUGAAUUUUGCUUGCCCAAAAAAGUUUGAAACUUUUCCAGCAUGGUCAUCAUGAUGGUGUUCAUUUUAGAGAAAGUUUUCAGUUUUUUCUAUACACUUUUUUUGGGGUCGAAAUUUGAUUAAAAAUUUCCUGAAUAUUUAUUUUGCUUGUACUUUUUAAUAUAUUUGACAAAGAAGUUGUUGACA
RNA transcript from Triticum aestivum (bread wheat), 3963 nucleotides. RefSeq lists it as uncharacterized. Lineage: Eukaryota; Viridiplantae; Streptophyta; Magnoliopsida; Poales; Poaceae. The transcript is spliced from 10 exons. The record is from RefSeq and is a predicted model, not a curated record.